RNAcentral lists this unclassified non-coding RNA (245 nucleotides) under Hevea brasiliensis (rubber tree). The record is from RNAcentral. Lineage: Eukaryota; Viridiplantae; Streptophyta; Magnoliopsida; Malpighiales; Euphorbiaceae.
ACCUGCGGCGCCAGUGUCGCAACCACGCUGUAGACAUAGGCGACACCGGUGCCCAUCGCGAUCAGCGUGAACAUGUUGAGAUUGCGCGUUUUGACCGACUGCCAGCCACGCUCGAAGNGGCCAGCCUGCCCACAGCACCACCGGCGUCGCCAGUGCGAACGAGAGCCAGUUCGAUGUUUGCAGCGGCAACAGAUGCACGCCGCCGAGAUGCGCCGCCAUGUCGAUGACGAACACCGGCAGGGGCC